Molecule: transfer RNA, 72 nt
Filed under: Caudoviricetes sp.
Lineage: Duplodnaviria; Heunggongvirae; Uroviricota; Caudoviricetes
Description: tRNA-His
Rfam family: tRNA
About the family: Transfer RNA (tRNA) molecules are approximately 80 nucleotides in length. Their secondary structure includes four short double-helical elements and three loops (D, anti-codon, and T loops).
Source: RNAcentral
GUGGGUAUCGUCUAAUGGUAAGACGCGAGAUUGUGGUUCUCGUUAUGGUGGGUUCAAUUCCCCCUACUCACA